UAUCAGAUAAUCAUAACAUUUUAUAGGCCCUAAAACAUCUCAUAAGGAAACCAUUCUUAGUAGUAGACUAACACAUUAGCAGACAACUGCAGAUUAAAAGGCAUAUAUUAGUUGAGUGAUUUUCACUUUCGAUCACUUUUGAAGGAGGUAAAUCUAGUCUUUUCCUUUAAUGCUGUGUGAGAAUUUAGAACAAUGAGAGUCAUAUCUGACUGAGAAAUAUGAGCCAGUUAAAUGUUACUGUUACAUGCUUUUUCAAAUUAAACCCUUUGGAUAAGCUGUGUUUUUUUUCACAACAGGAAGUUGGUCAUAAGGCUUUUAUAUAAGGAGGGUAUUACUAUAUAAUAAAUGUAGAUUUUAUCCGAAAGGAUGUUAAUCAUAAACUAGUGAAUUGUUAAUAUAUAUACGUGUUUUUAUGAAAAUACAGAAAGUUUAAUGAGCUCUUUUUAUCAUAGAGCUAUAUGAGGUUCAUUUGUAAUGUUGUUCUACUGUUUUUGAGUCGCAUUUGUAAUGUUCUGUUAGUUUGUGAUGUUGUUGUGUUGGUUUGUGUGUCUCAGUGCCUCUGAAGAGCAUCUCAGUGGAGCUUCUGGUUCAGGAUCAUGUAGCCACAGUCUCCUCCACUCUGCAGUAUGUGAAUGAGGAAGAGCGCCCCCUGGAGGCCGUGUUCGUCUUCCCUCUGCCUGCUGAUGCUGCUGUCUGCCACUUCAGUGCCAAGAUCAGAGAGCAGGAGAUUGUGGCAGAGGUGCAGGACAGAGAAACCCCACUCAACCAGCUCAGCCACCAGUGUCUGAACGAACUAAAUCUAAAUCACUAAUAGCUGCUCCUGAGCUCCAGAAGGACCUGUUACUGCAGCUGGUUUCUCUCCAAAAGGCGUCCGGCUGCUGGGAUCUGGACUCCACACUGGCUGAUGUGUUUGGGAAGACGGAUGAUCAGCUGACCAAUCAGAAACCAGCACAGGUGGAUGGGUCAGUAUGGGCCACUCUCCUGGCUCUGAUCUGGUUAUACGGCUGUAAAAUAGAGCAGCAGGUGGAGUGGCAGUUUGUGGCCAUGAAGGCAGCGUCAUGGAUCGGCUCUCAGAAAGUGGGAGAUCUGUCUCAGUGUGUGUGUGAGGGGAAUGUCCUGCUCGGAUGUCAGGUGACCAAAGAGACUCUGGGAAUCUGAAGACGUCAUUGUUUCUACAUCAUGAUCCGAAGACCAAAGAACAAAUACUUUUACAUUUAAUGUUGCUCUGUUACUUGAUUAAUAUUAAAUGAUAGCAUGCUCUCUGCCGAAUAUUCCUAUGUUUUUGCCUUUCUCCGCUGUCCCCAUUAACCCCCCACCCAACAUAUCGCUCCCUCGUCCUGUUUGUGCUCUCUCUCUCUCUCUCUCUCUCUACUGUUUGUACCUCUCUCUAUCCCUUAUGUAAUACAUGCAUAUGCAUAUGUUUAUAUCUCCUCCAGAGUUCAAAUGUUCAGAUGGGGACAAGGGUCUUCCAGUUUGGGUGUUCACUGAACCCAAUAUGAAUUGGCCCGUUUGGAUCCAGAAGUGUCAAGGGGUGAAGAAAAUCCUUUUGUUUGCCAAAUGUAUUUCAUGCACUUGUUUUUCUCCUUACAUUCAUAUUUGAUGUAGUGUAUACAAUCACUGUACCACCCCUUGCAAUGCAACUAUAUAAUCAACAGAUGUAAUAAUAAACUUUGAAGAAUUUUGUGAAGACAA
Long non-coding RNA from Carassius gibelio (silver crucian carp), 1692 nucleotides. RefSeq lists it as uncharacterized. The record is from RefSeq and is a predicted model, not a curated record. Lineage: Eukaryota; Metazoa; Chordata; Actinopteri; Cypriniformes; Cyprinidae. The transcript has 5 exons.